AUCCAACUGACGAGUCCCAAAUAGGACGAAACGUGAGUCAAACUGCAU
Molecule: non-coding RNA, 48 nt
Filed under: Schistosoma haematobium
Lineage: Eukaryota; Metazoa; Platyhelminthes; Trematoda; Strigeidida; Schistosomatidae
Source: RNAcentral